RNAcentral lists this ribosomal RNA (482 nucleotides) under uncultured bacterium. RNAcentral describes it as "bacterial SSU rRNA". It matches the Rfam family "Bacterial small subunit ribosomal RNA", at positions 29 to 506 of the family's 1533-position model. The record is from RNAcentral.
UUGAACGCUGGCGGAAUGCUUUACACAUGCAAGUCGAGCGGCAGCGCGGGGGCAACCCUGGCGGCGAGCGGCGAACGGGUGAGUAAUGUAUCGGAACGUACCCUGUCGUGGGGGAUAACACAGCGAAAGCUGUGCUAAUACCGCAUACGACCUGAGGGUGAAAGCGGGGGAUCGCAAGACCUCGCGCGAUAGGAGCGGCCGAUAUCGGAUUAGCUUGUUGGUGAGGUAAAGGCUCACCAAGGCGACGAUCCGUAGCUGGUCUGAGAGGACGACCAGCCACUCUGGAACUGAGACACGGUCCAGACUCCUACGGGAGGCAGCAGUGCGGAAUUUUGGACAAUGGGGGCAAGCCUGAUCCAGCCAUUCCGCGUGAGUGAAGAAGGCCUUCGGGUUGUAAAGCUCUUUCAGCCGGGAAGAGAUCGCAUCUCCUAAUAUGGGGUGUGGAUGACGGUACCGGAAGAAGAAGCACCGGCUAACUACGU